RNAcentral lists this ribosomal RNA (399 nucleotides) under uncultured bacterium. Its description in RNAcentral is "bacterial SSU rRNA". It matches the Rfam family "Bacterial small subunit ribosomal RNA", at positions 29 to 414 of the family's 1533-position model. The record is from RNAcentral.
AACGAACGCUGGCGGCGUGGAUAAGACAUGCAAGUCGAACGGGAUUAUUUUUGUAGCAAUACAGAAAUAAUUCAGUGGCGAACGGGUGCGUAACACGUGGGCAAUCUGCCGAAAAGUGGGGGAUAGCUCGCCGAAAGGCGAAUUAAUACCGCAUGUGGUGAGGGACGACAUCUUCCUGAAUCCAAAGCCGGGGCAACCUGGCGCUUUUUGAGGAGCCCGCGGCCUAUCAGCUUGNGGUGAGGUAACGGCUCACCAAGGCUUUGACGGGUAGCUGGUCUGAGAGGACGACCAGUCACACUGGAACUGAGACACGGUCCAGACACCUACGGGUGGCAGCAGUCGAGAAUUUUUCUCAAUGGGGGCAACCCUGAAGGAGCGACGCCGCGUGGAGGAUGAAGG